RNAcentral lists this transfer RNA (76 nucleotides) under Camelus bactrianus (Bactrian camel). It matches the Rfam family "tRNA". Rfam says of the family: Transfer RNA (tRNA) molecules are approximately 80 nucleotides in length. RNAcentral also lists the same sequence under 2 other names. The record is from Rfam by way of RNAcentral. Lineage: Eukaryota; Metazoa; Chordata; Mammalia; Artiodactyla; Camelidae.
GGGGCUAUAACUCAGUGGUAGAGUGCGUGUGUGUUUUAGCACCACAAGGUCCUGGGUUCGAUCCCUAGUACCGCCA